AUGCUAAAUGACAGGAUAAAUACAUGUGAUCUUUUGAUCAGAAAAAAUAUGCAUCUGGAUUCCACUGUAUGUGUUCUAUGCAACAAUGAAGACAUUGAGGAUAGGACUCAUCUUCUUUUCACAUGUCCAUUUAGUUAGGGAUUUUGGUGGAACAUUGGUUUUGAAUGGAAUUCGGAUCUGGAAAUCAACAAUAUGAUUAUUGAUGCUAAACACAGAUAUAAAAUUGACCACUUCAUGGAAGCCAUGAUUCUUGGAUGCUGGAGCAUAUGGAACCAAAGGAAUGGGAUGAUUUUUGAAGGGAUCCCCUGUUCAAUAAAUGAAUGCAAGAAUGAAUUUGUCAGAUAUUUCAAAAUGACCAUGCUAAGGGCUAAACCCACUCUAAAAGAGGGCAUGUCCUCUUGGAUAGACAAUAUUUAA
This 417-nucleotide ribosomal RNA is filed under the name Triticum aestivum (bread wheat). Its description in RNAcentral is "partial small subunit ribosomal RNA". Lineage: Eukaryota; Viridiplantae; Streptophyta; Magnoliopsida; Poales; Poaceae. The record is from RNAcentral.